ACUUAAAUAGCUUAUAUUUAGAGCAUGGUAUUGAAGAUACUAAGGAAACUAUUUAGUUUUUAAGUA
RNAcentral lists this transfer RNA (66 nucleotides) under Parcoblatta uhleriana. Its description in RNAcentral is "tRNA-Phe". The record is from RNAcentral. Lineage: Eukaryota; Metazoa; Arthropoda; Insecta; Blattodea; Blattellidae.